RNAcentral lists this transfer RNA (101 nucleotides) under Xylaria arbuscula. RNAcentral's name for it is "tRNA-Ser". It matches the Rfam family "tRNA". From Rfam's summary of the family: Transfer RNA (tRNA) molecules are approximately 80 nucleotides in length. Their secondary structure includes four short double-helical elements and three loops (D, anti-codon, and T loops). Lineage: Eukaryota; Fungi; Ascomycota; Sordariomycetes; Xylariales; Xylariaceae. The record is from RNAcentral.
GGCAUGUUGCCAGAGUGGUUAAUGGGUGAGACUUGAAUUCAUUAGCGAAUUUAAGCCAUCUCAUGGUUUCGGCCGCGUAGGUUCAAAUCCUGCACAUGUCG